UGUCAAAACAACUCAUUAACAGAGAGAGAGCCAAAAAGGAGAUUGUUAAUAUACCGCUUUGUAACUCCGGAAGCUCCUUUAAGAAGCUCUAUGGAGCAUGCUAAAAGAAGAGCUACUACAAACUACACACGCAAAGUAAAAAACUAUUAUAAAUUGGGCCUUCUAAAGUACUAAGAAUUAGGUUUUGGGCUUCGGAAAACCAAAUUCAGUUUACAUGUGAGGUCAUCAUGUUUUUUGUUAUGACAAAAAUUAAUUAAAUAGUAUUGUAGGC
Arabidopsis thaliana (thale cress) is the source of this 271-nucleotide RNA transcript. RefSeq lists it as uncharacterized. The transcript is spliced from 2 exons. NCBI's taxonomy places the organism in Eukaryota, Viridiplantae, Streptophyta, Magnoliopsida, Brassicales, Brassicaceae. The record is from RefSeq.